GAUGAACGCUGGCGGCGUGCCUAAUACAUGCAAGUCGAGCGAACGGACGAGAAGCUUGCUUCUCUGAUGUUAGCGGCGGACGGGUGAGUAACACGUGGAUAACCUACCUAUAAGACUGGGAUAACUUCGGGAAACCGGAGCUAAUACCGGAUAAUAUUUUGAACCGCAUGGUUCAAAAGUGAAAGACGGUCUUGCUGUCACUUAUAGAUGGAUCCGCGCUGCAUUAGCUAGUUGGUAAGGUAACGGCUUACCAAGGCAACGAUGCAUAGCCGACCUGAGAGGGUGAUCGGCCACACGGGAACUGAGACACGGUCCAGACUCCUACGGGAGGCAGCAGUAGGGAAUCUUCCGCAAUGGGCGAAAGCCUGACGGAGCAACGCCGCGUGAGUGAUGAAGGUCUUCGGAUCGUAAAACUCUGUUAUUAGGGAAGAACAAAUGUGUAAGUAACUAUGCACGUCUUGACGGUACCUAAUCAGAAAGCCACGGCUAACUACGUG
RNAcentral lists this ribosomal RNA (497 nucleotides) under uncultured bacterium. RNAcentral's name for it is "partial 16S ribosomal RNA". It matches the Rfam family "Bacterial small subunit ribosomal RNA", at positions 28 to 507 of the family's 1533-position model. The record is from RNAcentral.